CAUUGGGACCAGUGCUAAAAUCCAAAAGGCCCAGGACAGCAUUUUAUGGGUGGACCCCCUCUCUCCUUGGGCCUAAUGGGUGAAUAAUACCACAGAGGACCUUGGUGGGACCCCUCAUCGCCCUCAUCACAACAUCGACAACAGCCCUGUGUUUAUCUGAGAUGCUUUGAUGCCCAGAGAACAUCUUCAACUAACAAAACAAGACAUGCUAGGGAGGAGAGGCGCUCAUGUACAUCAAAGCAUGAAGAGAAAUAUGAGUCCUGACUAUUGUUACACACCGAGGCCUGUGUGUUCAUACAGUGGGGAGUUCAUUUGUGUGUUACUGGUCAUUUCGAUCUUUUUUUCUGCCUUAAAAGGUCUGGCUGUCAGUCGUAUUGUUGACUAGGGGCCGGAGUGACACUGGCCCCCUGAAGCGUCCACCUGAUAUAGCAGCGAAAGAUCACAGAGAUGGACUUUUCAGUCCAGUCCAAACUUGAGAAAACUGUACUAAGCAAAUUUUAAUGGAUAUCCCUGCUGAAAAGACCAGCGUGUACAAUUUCCAAACCAACAGCGAUUCACCGCAGCCAGACUCCCAUGAGGCCAUGGGUGUCUGGACGUGAUGUCACACCUCUGACAUCUUCUAGCCUCUGCUACCUGAAAGUGUCAGCUCUUCGCUGCUUUAUGGUGAAGAGAAAGCCUGCUUGGAAGGGAUCAGUUGUGUUUUUCUGCACUUGAGAGGAGGUGCUUCAGGUACAAGUGGAGCCGCGGUUUCACCUAAAAGCAGAAAGAGCGUCCCAGAGGUCCCUCGACAUCCCCCGCAUGUCUCUUUUCUCUUCCCUCCUUCUUUUUCUCUCGCCUCACUGAAGCCGUCCGAUCGCGUUAGCCUCAUCGCAGUGCUAAAACGCUCUCUCUGCGCCCCCUCUGUCCUCUGCGCUGUUGCCGCCCUCAUUUCCACCAAACAGAAACACUUUGAAAAUCUCUCCGAACAGGAAAGAUUGCAGGCCUCACUUCCUGCACCAGCCGACCCUCCCUCGCUCUGUGGAGGAGGACAAUCUACUGGAAGGAACGAGGGACUUGGCCGCAGACCAGAGCAGAAAGAGAGAAAUACUGUAGCUUGAAGUCCGACCGUGUGCAUGUGUAGAACAAAAGAGGUCACGUGAACAGCGGAAUGAAGAAAAAAGAGGAUUGAACAGGGCAACGAUUGAUCACGAACACACCUGGUGGAAAGAGAGGGAGCUCCCACGUGACGUCAGACGGAGAGAGUGAGGGCUCUCUCUCUCUGCAACCAGGGGUCAAGGGCAACAUGUUCCCAACAAACACACAGAGAAAACGAUUAACAGGACUUUCACAGCAGGGGAGAUGUAUGGAGGGAGCUGAGAGGGUCUCUAGAGAACAAAAAUAGCAGGAAGCUGACCUUCUUCUUCACAGUGUCACUGAGAGCAUCUCCAGUGCUCCUAAAUUUAGUUCUCUGAGAAGUUUUUCAGAGAGAAAAGGAAAACAUGGGAAAUUCCACUCUUUCUCUUUUCUCUCUCUUUCAAUUCAGUGUCAAACAAAACAAAACAGCAGUGCGUCGUAAAAUUAUAACUCAGUUUAGUAAGCUUUGUUGGCGUUAAUAAAACUACAUUGUUAUUGUCAAAUAACUGAAACAAAAUAAAAACAACCCAACAGUUUAGUGUAAAAUUUGAAUUUGUAUUGCCAAAUGCAGUACUAAACUUAACUAAGCAACAGUAGAGUGUUAAAUUUAGAUUUGUAUUGCCAAUGCAGUGCUAAACUAACCAAACUAAAAAAUAGUUUAGUGUAAAAUUUGUAUUGUCAAAGUAGUGCUAAACUUAACAACAGUAAAGUGUUACAUUUCAAUUGGUAAUGCCAAAGCAGUGCUUAACUAAACUAAACAGUGCAGUGUAAAAUUUGUAUUGUGUAAAGCAAUGUUAAACUAAAUUAAGCUAAACAACUAAACUAAACAACAGUGCAGUGUAAAAUUUGAAUUUUUAUUGCCAAAAUCAGUGUUAAACUAAAAUAAAUUCAGCUAAGCUAAACUAAAAACAACAGUACAGUGUAAAAUUUGUACUUGUAUUGUGUAAAGCAAUGUUAAACUAAACUAAGCUAAACAACUAAACUAAACAACAGUGCAGUGUAAAAUUUGAAUUUGUAUUGUGUAAAACAAUGUUAAACUAAACUAAACUAAGCUAAUCAACUAAACUAAACAACAGUGCAGUGUAAAAUUUGUAUUGCCAAAGCAGGGCUAAACUAAACUUAACUAAACUAAACAAGAAUUCAGUGUAAAAUUUGAAUUUGUAUUGCCAAAACAGUGUUAAACUAAACUAAACUAAACAACAGUGCAGUGUAAAAUUUGAAUUUGUACUGCCAAAACAGUGUUAAACUAACCUAAACAACACUGCAGUGUAAAGUUUGUAUUUGUACUGCCCAAAGGCAGUGUUAAACUAAACUAAAAUCAGUUAAGCUGAACAACUAAACAACAAUGCAGUGUAACAUUUAAAUGUUUAUUGCCAACACUGUGCUAAACUAAAAUUAACUAAGCUAAACAACAGUGCAGUGUAAAAUUUAACUUUUAAUGGCUAAAGGCAGUGUUAAACUAAACUAAAUUCAGCUAAGCUGAACAACUAAACUAAAAUAAACAACAGUGCAGUGUAAAGUUUGUAUUUGUACUGCCCAAAGGCAAUGUUAAACUAAACUAAAAUCAGUUAAGCUGAACAACUAAACAACAGUGCAGUGUAACAUUUAAAUUUUUUUAUUGCUAGCACAGUGCUAAACUAAAAUUAGCUAAGCUAAACAACAGUGCAGUGUAAAAUUUUAAUUUUAAUGGCUAAAGGCAGUGUUAAACUAAACUAAAUUCAGCUAAGCUGAACAACUAAACAGUGCAGUGUAAAAUGUGAAUGUUUAUUGCCAAAAGCAGUGCUAAAACUAAACUAAACAACAGUGCAGUGUGAAGUUUGAAAUUAUACUGCCCAAAGCAAUCUUAAACUAAACUAAACUAAACUAAACUAAACAACAGGGCAGUGUAAAAUUUGAAUUUGUAUUGCCAAAAGCAGUGCUAAACUAAACUAAAUUCAGCUAAGCUGAACAACUAAACUAAAUAACAGUGCAAAGUUUGUAUUGCCAGAGCAGUGCUAACUAAACUAAACUAAACAAAACAACCGUUCAGUGUAAGAUUUGAAUUUGUAUUGCCAAAACAGUGCUUAACUAAAUUAAACUAAAUAGUGCAGUGUAAAAUUUGAAUUUGUAUUGUCAAAACAGUGCUAAACUAAACUGAACAACAGUUCAGUGUAAAAUUAGAGUAGUGCAAAUAAGUGAAACAAAAGAAGUCAAUUUGAAAUAAAUGAUCAGACAAUUAAAAAAUAUAUAUAUAAGCUAGGAGGGCAACAGUUACUGUAAGUUAAAGUCUCUCUUUUGUUUUUUUCUCUCCAUGUCUCUGAGCAGAAGCCCUGUUCUGAGGUCAGUUUUCUGCUGUAACUGAUGUCAGAUUCAUCUUUGCUCCGGCUCCAGUUUUCCCAUGAACACAUGACCACAUGAGUGACAGCUCCACGACCUCCAUGAGUCCCCAGUGAGGUUGAGCCCACAGAGCCAGGACAGGAGGCACUGCUGGGGUUCCACCCACAAAUAUUCUGUCUUCCUCUGUGACCCAUUAUUCCCGUUUACGGUGAACUGAUCCUCAAACACACACAGCGUGGGAAUCCCAUCACCCUCACACAACAUCUCAGGAUAUAUUUAGACAUUAAACUAACUUUCCAACAGUCAAAAUGUUCCAGACAGUGUGGAUUACAUGCAUACAACGAAGAACUAGUCGUUGGAUGCUUGCCCAUGAAUCUAUGAAUUUUGAAUAUUCCAGAUGUCUUCUGCACUCAAAUCUUAUCAGUGUUUUUAGGGGAUUUCCCAAUGCAUCAAAAGAUUUUGCAAUAAGUAGGAAGUAAACAAGAUAUCCUUGACCAAACUUCUGUAUUCCUCUUUGUUCUUAAGGUUAUAUUCUGAGUUACCUGGCUCUAAAGGGAAGUCAUGAAUGCAGAUUUAAACCUUGUUGAUGCAGAAGUGAGAUGGAGAGCAGAACUAUUAGCCUUUAACCUUUUCUUCACGUCUGUGGGACGUGAUCACAUCACCUCCUCCUAGGGGUCGAAAAGUCACAUGGCUACAGGCAUAAAAAACAUCAAGCGCUUUCUCAAAACAGCAUAAAGCCCUCUCAAAGCACUAGCUCCGAUCAGAUUAGCUGGCUUCUACACAACAUCACUGAGUCACAGGAAGCAAAGCCGUAUUUACAAGUUCCCAGGACUGCCGCAACAAGCACCUCUGUAUAAGAAAAGUCACUAGAUUUGUGAAAGUUUGCAGUGAAUAGAUUGUUCUGGGUGAUUUCUAGGGUAUUGCUAUGAGGUUGGGAAGACAUUCUGACUGGUUAUUUUGUUAAUUUGCUAAGCAGUUGCUAGGGUGUUGCAAGUGUAACCCCUCCAGUCCUAACUACUCCACCUCUUUCUUGUUCUGAGUGGGACUCAAACCGGGUCGCUGACAUGGGUAGUGGGUGCACUAACAAGGACGCUGAAGACUGCAGUCACUAGUGUGCCUCUUGAAAUUGGGGGAGUGAGGUUUACCUGCACAGCUCUUACCAGCUGGCCUACCUAAACUUUACUUCCAUCCGGGUCAUGGCACCAAUGUAACCUCUCUUGUCCUACCCGCUCCACCUCGUUCUUGUCUCGAGCAGGACUCGAAACCGGGUCAUAGGCAUGGGAGGUGGGUGCACUAACACGGACGCUAAAGACCAGAGCCACUAGCGUGGCCUAAUGGUUAGGGAGUCGGGCUUGUAAUCGAAAGGUUGCGGGUUCCAGUCCCAGGUUCCGGCAGGGAUUGAAGGUUGGAGGAGUAAAUAACCAGCGAUCUCUCCACCCUCAAUACCAUGACUGAGGUGAGUCCCUUGACUUACAGAUCCCCCAACUGCUUCCCGGGUGCCGCAGCGAUAGCAAUAUGGCUCCCCACUGCUCCGGGAGUGUGUUCACAGUGUGUGUGUGUGUGUGUGUGCAUGUUUGUUCACUACUCACUACUGUGUGUGUGCACUUGGAUGGGUUAAAUGCAGAGCACAUAUUCCGAGUAUGGGUCACCAUACUUGGCCACACGUCCUUUCCUUUCCUUUCCUUUCCUGUUUAGCUGGAAUCUAUUAAACUCACCGGGUCCAGGUCACGGCACCAGUGUUACACCUCCGGUCCUAACCGCACAACCUCAUUCUUGUUCUGAGUGUGACUUGAACUCGGGUCGCUGGCUGGCAGGUGCUAACAAAGAUGCUACAGACUGCAGUCACUAGCAUCAGUUGCUAGUGCACCUCUUGAGAUCAGGGGAGUGAGGUUUACUCUGCACAGCUUUUACCAGCUGGCCUCUGUUACACUCACCCCCAUAAACCUCACUCCCAUCUGGUGUGAAGGCACCAGUGUAACUCCUCCAGUCCUGACCGCAAAACCUCGUACCAAAUGGGACUCGAACCUGGGCCACAGGCAUGGGGGAUGGGUGCACUAACAAGGAUGCUAAAGACUGCAGCCACUAACACACCUCUUGAGAUCAGGGAGUGAGCUUUAGGGGGCAGUUGUGGCCUAAUGGUUAGAGAGUCAAACUUGCUUUGUGCUUGCUAAAGUGUUCUGCAAAGAUUUAGGCCUCUGCUUUGCAGUCGUUAGGGUGUUUUGGGUUGUUACUAGGUUGUUACUAAGGUGUUUUCCAAAUGGUGUUUAGUGCAUUGCAGUGUAGUUGCUAGUGUGUCUUUGGUGUUUUUAGGUGGUGGCUAAGAUGUUCUAAAUGGUUUAGUGCACAGCUAUGCAGUUGCCAAGCCAUUGCUUUGUGUUUGCUAAAGUGUUCAAAGUGGAUUUAUGCCAUUGUAAUGGAGUUGCUAAGGUCUUUGGUGUAGUUGCUAGUGAUGCAACAACAAGCACUUCUGAAGAACUAAAGUGUGUGACUUUGUCAAACCAUUUGCAAGGUUUAUACUGCUGUAUCUAUGAAAGUGGACCAGAUAUGUUACUAGACUACAUGGUUCCUGGCAUUGGAGGGGCGGGUUUGUUGAUUGAGUUAGUUUGAGCUUGAUUUCUGGAAAAACUGUUUCAUCUUUCCCUCUUAUAAAUACAAACUUACAGCACUGCUAACAUCCUCAGAUUACAGUCUCCAUUUCUCAGGCUGUGUGUUUCCUUUUGGAGCUUUGAAGAGUCACUUUAAGAUAAGAUAUCUCAGUGUAGGACGUCCUCUCCCAAUCGCAAGCUGGCUCUAACUAUUUAUAAACUCUAACAGGGCAGAAAGAUGGAAAUACUCGCUCUCCCCUCACUAAUGUGCACAUGUGAGGUAAUAUCACCUGACUCUUUCAUCAGGGACAAUUGGACUGGACUUCAGGAGAUGUUAAAACUUCCUGCUCUCUGAAUCGACACAAGAGGUCGUUUGCAAGCGCCAACCUUGCGCUAAAGAUCAUCAAUCAGAGAUGUGAAACCAUAACACAUGCCAUCUCUGUUUAUAUCUCUCUGUCUCUCUUGCUCUCUUCCCGCUGUCAUCUGGAUUACGUCUAUGAGCUGUCAGUGAUAAACCACAGGCCCACCUGAAAAUCUCUCCUCCGCUCUCGGCAUGUUUAGAUAACCCCCGGUCUAAGUUUCCAAACUAUUCAGUGUGUGUAAAAUUGCAACAAAAACACAAUGAAACUAUAUCAUUUCUACAAUAUCUGAUGCAACUCAUUCAGUUAUCAAAAUGAAAUCCCAUCUGUUAAAAACAAACUCAUGCAGAAGGUUUUGAUCAGCAAGAAUGAUGAAAACAAGAAGAAUGAGCUUCAAUUAUAAACCAAUCAAGAAUAUAAGUUUGUGCAAAACUUACUAUUUGUGUCCCAAAUCAUGCACUAUAUACUACGCACACAACUGUGUACUGUAUUAAUUUUAUAAGGUUAUUUUGUAAUUCAAAUUUGGAGUCUGAAAUCCCGCCCCCUCCAUUUUCGUAGCAUUCUCGCUGUUUGUUAGUUUACUGUGAAGUUUUAGGUUGUCAGUCAUUGUCAGAGUGUUGCUAUACGGUUGCCAAGCUGUUUUCAGUGUUUUAGCAUGUUGCUAUGCAUUUGCUAGGCUGUUCUAGGUCUUUUCUAUGCAAAGGCUUUUUCAGCAUUCUCUCUUUUUGUUAGUUUACUGUGAAGUUUCUAGGGUGUGAGUUGUUGUCCAGGUGUUGCUAUGUGGUUUUCAAGCUAUUUUGAGUGUUUUAACAUGUUUUUAUGCAGUUGCUAGGCUGUUCUGGGUUGUUUCUAUGCAAAUGCAAAAGCUUUCUCAGCAUUCUCUCUUUUUGCUUGUAAACUAUGAAGUUUCUAGGGUGUCAGUAGUUGUCAGGGUGUUGCUAUGCAGUUUCCAAGCUGUUUUAAAUGGGCAGUUUCUAUUUAAAUGAAAAAGUUUUCUCAGCUUUCAUCAGCUUUCUUUCUUUUUGUUUACUGUGAAGUUUCUAGGGUGUGAGUGGUUGUCAGGGUGUUGCUAUGCGGUUGCCAAACUGUUUUGAGUGUUUUAGUAUGUUGCUAUGUAGUUGCUAGACUGUUCUGGGGCGCGUUUCCCGUACAAUGACGUAACUCGCUGAUUAACCUCCAUAGUACAAUGCAUUGUUGUGGAAACGAACUAGCUAGUCACGACUGUUUCCCGAACAAGGUCGCAUCUCCGUCGUUUGAACCACAUUAGUUCAACAAUGUAGGGCCGUUGUUAAUGACAUCACCGAGUAAUAAUUUAUGCUAUUUAACUUAUUAGAGAUCUCUAAAAUGCAGCUAUAUUAAACAUGGCAUCAGGUGACUAAUUUACUAUUUUUUGUUCCAUGUAAUUUCGCUUUAUUUGAUGUUUGAUUCAUCCCGGGUUCCGUCUUACGUCAUACUCCGGGGUUCCCGUAGGCAUUUAUGCGCAUGCGCACUAUGCAAAAACGUUGCUUGCAGAGGAAGCCUAAAAAUACAUAGAUUAAAAUGCAUUUAUAUUUAGAUCGAGUGAAAGAUAUAGAUUGUACUGCAUAUUAGCUUGCUUAUUGUGUUCUCGUUUUUUGUUUGUUUGUUUACUGUUAAGUUUCUAGGGUGUGAGUUGUUGUUGAGGUGUUGUGUUGGUUUCCAAGCUAUUUUGAGUGUUUUAGCAUGUUACUAUGCAGUUGCUAGGCUGUUAUGGGUGGUUUGUAUGCAAAUGCAAAGGUUUUCUCAGCAUUCUCUCUUUUUGUUUGCUUACUGUGAAGUUUCUAGGGUGUCAGUGGUUGUCAGGGUGUUGCUAAGCGGUUGCCAAGGUGUUUUGAAUGUUUUAGCAUGUUGCUAUGCAGUUGUUCUGGGUGAUUUCUAUGCAAAUGCAUUAUUUUUGAUGGUUUGGUUGUUUACUGUGAACUUUCUAGGGUGUGAGUGGUUGUUAGGGUGUUGCUAUGCGGUUGGCAAGCUGUUUUGAGUGUUUUAGCUUGUUGCUAUGCAGUUGAUAGUCUGUUUUGGUUGAUUUCUAUUUAAAUGCAAAGGUUUUCUCAGCUUUCGUCAACGUUCUCUUUUUGUUUCUUUACUGUGAAGUUUCUAGGGUGUGAGUAGUUGUCAGGGUGUUGCUACGCGGUUGCCAAGCUGUUUUGAAUGUUUUAGCAUGUUGCUAUGAAGUUGCUAGACUGUUCUGUGUGAUUUCCAGGGCACUGCUAGGUGGUUACUUUCCAAAUUGAAAAGUGUUUUAGUACUCCCUGUUUGUUUGCCAUGGGGUUACCAAGGGGUUGCUAUGUAAUUGUUGAGGUGUUCUAAAUUUUCUGACAUGUUGCUGUGCAGUUGCAGUGGUGUUCUGUGUGGUUGCUAGAGUGUCGCUGUGUGGUUUCUAGUGAGUUCUGAGUGUUUUAAAAUGUUUCCAUGCAGUCGCUACAGUGUUCUAAAUGGUUGCUAAGGUGCUAUAAAUGUUUUAGUGCACUGAUAUGCACUGCCAGGGCCUUGCUUGGCAUUUACUAAGAUGUUCUGAGCGUAUAUAUUCGAUAUUUUGUUGUAGAGGUUUGAUUAAACAAGAUUUUAAACAAUAAUACUAGUAAUGUUUGUCUUAGGAAGCACCGCUAAUAAAAUUAUUUUCUCAUCAAAUUUCUUGCUUGGUUCAUAGAAAGUCCACACACAAGACCUCAGCUCUGAAAUAGCACCAUCUAUGGGUCUGAAGCAACAGACAGGCCAAGAGAUCUGAUUUGGGAUUCAGGAACGCUGCAGCACAGGCAGUGGGUGGAACUAAUGUCAUUAAAUAUGAAAGAACUUCCAGUGAAUUGAGGAAAGAAAGAGAGAGUGAGAAAAAGAGGAGAGCAGGGGUUACUGAAGACAGAGGAGGCGGGACUCAGAUGACAAACAUCCCACUGUACAAAUAGCAACUUGAGAUCAAAUUGAUUCUCCCAAUCAACAGCAAAAACUCUGGUGUGUUGAUGGAGAGCCUCUACAGCCUACUGUGACCAGAACAUCUGUGAUAUAAAGCUCAGAACAAAAAAUGAAAUGUGAAAGAAAAAAGCAAUAAUCAGGUGAACUUGGGGUCAAAUCAUGAAAAGCAUGUUUUUUUUAUCUUUUCACAUGUACCAUGUAUAUUUAC
Molecule: long non-coding RNA, 9506 nt
Organism: Labeo rohita (rohu)
Lineage: Eukaryota; Metazoa; Chordata; Actinopteri; Cypriniformes; Cyprinidae
Exons: 8
Source: RefSeq, a predicted model, not a curated record